RNAcentral lists this ribosomal RNA (495 nucleotides) under uncultured bacterium. Its description in RNAcentral is "partial 16S ribosomal RNA". It matches the Rfam family "Bacterial small subunit ribosomal RNA", at positions 28 to 507 of the family's 1533-position model. The record is from RNAcentral.
GACGAACGCUGGCGGCGUGCCUAAUACAUGCAAGUAGAACGCUGAAGGAGGAGCUUGCUUCUCUGGAUGAGUUGCGAACGGGUGAGUAACGCGUAGGUAACCUGCCUGGUAGCGGGGGAUAACUAUUGGAAACGAUAGCUAAUACCGCAUAAUAGUAGAUGUCGCAUGACAUUUGCUUAAAAGGUGCAAUUGCAUCACUACCAGAUGGACCUGCGUUGUAUUAGCUAGUUGGUGAGGUAACGGCUCACCAAGGCAACGAUACAUAGCCGACCUGAGAGGGUGAUCGGCCACACUGGGACUGAGACACGGCCCAGACUCCUACGGGAGGCAGCAGUAGGGAAUCUUCGGCAAUGGACGGAAGUCUGACCGAGCAACGCCGCGUGAGUGAAGAAGGUUGUCGGAUCGUAAAGCUCUGUUGUAAGAGAAGAACGAGUGUGAGAGUGGAAAGUUCACACUGUGACGGUAUCUUACCAGAAAGAGACGGCUAACUACGUG